Molecule: transfer RNA, 69 nt
Filed under: Equus caballus (horse)
Lineage: Eukaryota; Metazoa; Chordata; Mammalia; Perissodactyla; Equidae
Also listed under: 1 other name
Description: tRNA-His
Rfam family: tRNA
About the family: Transfer RNA (tRNA) molecules are approximately 80 nucleotides in length. Their secondary structure includes four short double-helical elements and three loops (D, anti-codon, and T loops). Further hydrogen bonds mediate the characteristic L-shaped molecular structure. tRNAs have two regions of fundamental functional importance: the anti-codon, which is responsible for specific mRNA codon recognition, and the 3' end, to which the tRNAs corresponding amino acid is attached (by aminoacyl-tRNA synthetases). tRNAs cope with the degeneracy of the genetic code in two manners: having more than one tRNA (with a specific anti-codon) for a particular amino acid; and 'wobble' base-pairing, i.e. permitting non-standard base-pairing at the 3rd anti-codon position.
Source: RNAcentral
GUAAAUAUAGUUUAACAAAAACACUAGAUUGUGGGUCUAGAAACAGAAACUUAAUAUUUCUUAUUUACC